RNAcentral lists this ribosomal RNA (422 nucleotides) under uncultured eukaryote. Its description in RNAcentral is "SSU rRNA". It matches the Rfam family "Eukaryotic small subunit ribosomal RNA", at positions 592 to 1018 of the family's 1831-position model. The record is from RNAcentral.
CAAUAGCGUAUAUUAAAGUUGUUGCGGUUAAAAAGCUCGUAGUUGGAUUUCUGUUGAAGACUGUCGGUCUGCUCUAUGAGCAUGUAUCUGAUGUGGCUUCGGCAUCCUCUUGAGGUGUGCUUAUGCGCUUGAUUGCGUGGGGCAGGCCCCAAGACUUUUACUUUGAGGAAAUUAGAGUGUUCACGGCAGGCAAGCGUCAUGAAUAUAUUAGCAUGGAAUAAUAAUAUAGGAUUUAGGUUCUAUUUUAUUGGUUUCUAGGACUUAGAUAAUGAUUAAUAGGGAUAAUUGGGGGCAUUUGUAUUAACUCGUCAGAGGUGGAAUUCUUGGAUUGAGUUACGACAAACUACUGCGAAAGCAUUUGCCAAGGAUGUUUUCAUUGAUCAAGAACGAAAGUAUAGGGAUCGAAGACGAUUAGAUACCAU